This is a long non-coding RNA of Carassius gibelio (silver crucian carp), 1242 nucleotides long. RefSeq lists it as uncharacterized. The transcript is spliced from 2 exons. NCBI's taxonomy places the organism in Eukaryota, Metazoa, Chordata, Actinopteri, Cypriniformes, Cyprinidae. The record is from RefSeq and is a predicted model, not a curated record.
GGAAGGGCUCCAAGCUUGGGAAUGGCCCGAACCUAGAAUUAGCAUAGCAUUGCUGAACAGCUAGAUGAAGGCUACAGGAUUGGCAUUAGAAGGCACAAUGAAGAGGUCACAAAAAUAUUCUGUCUAGAAUAACAGACUGUGUGAUAUUUUGUUUCGUGUUUGAGCUGGCUUUGCAUGGUCAUGACGAGAACGAGACAUCAGACAAUCUUGGGAUAUUCGUGGCCUGGUCGAUUUUGUUGCCACUGUGUUUAAGGAAACUUCAAACGAGCUGUUGGACUGAAUGUUGUCUGUUGUUAGGGAGCACAUAAUCCAAGAAGCACAGAGCAGUGACUUUCUCUCAAUCCAUGCCGGUGAGACCACCGAUAUUGCCACACAGUGUCAAUUUGUGCUUGUGCUGUGGUACAUUGAUGCUAAAAAUAACGUACAUGAGAGUUUUUUUUUGUUUAUUCUUCUGCGUUCAGCUACAGCUGAUUCCAUCGCCACAGCACUAAAAGAGCAUCUUGCUGUCAUCCUUCCAAAGGAUCAGAAGAAUAAACUCAUCUCCCAAGUGUAUGAUGGAGCCACUGCAGGUGUUCAAAGGAAGAUGCAAGAUGUGUACCCAAAUGCCAAUUACAUCCAAUGCUAUGCACAUCAGCUCAAUCUGAUAAUGCAACAGGCCACUUCUCACAUACCCAAAGUGAGAGUUCUUUUUUCUGACCUUGGAGGAUUUGACAGCUUUUUCUCAAGAUCACCCAAGCGCACCGAUGUCCUUGAUAAAGUAGUUGCCCAUAGACUACAAACAAGCAAAGUCGGAUGGAACUUCCACAGCCGUGCCAUCAAUUCAGUGUUUGAGCACAGAGAGGACCUCAUCUGCUGUUUUCAAACUAUACGAGACUCAGGUGACUUUGACCCUGUUACCGUCAGAGAGGCAGGAGCCUUUGCCAUGCUGCUGGAGGAUUAGGAUUUUAUUUUAUUUUCUGCAACUUUUCCAUAACAUCAUGCAACAUGUGGACCUCCUCUAUGCCAAACUCCAGAAGAAGGACAUAGAUUCAAUCCACAUCAGGGGGAUCAUCCAGCAGUUCCAGCAGGAUAUACAGAAGAUCAGAUAGCAGCUAAAUUAUCUCCAUUCCCUGGUUGACCAAAGCAGUGAAGGUGGUUCUCAACCGAAGAGGUGGCGGUCACUCAGUCCAGAGGUCCAUGAACGGAUUGCAGCAGAAAUUAGUUUUUAUUGCAGUCAAAAUAAACCAUCACCAACAAGUUAAA